ACGAACGCUGGCCGCGUGCUUAACACCUGCAAGUCGAACGGAAAGGCCCUGCUUUUGUGGGGUGCUCGAGUGGCGAACGGGGGAGUAACACGUGAGUAACCUGCCCUUGACUUUGGGAUAACUUCAGGAAACUGGGGCUAAUACCGGAUAGGAGCUCCUGCUGCAGGGUGGGGGUUGGGAAGUUUCCGCGGUUGGGGAUGGACUCGCGGCUUAUCAGCUUGUUGGUGGGGUAGGGGCAUACCAGGGCUUUGCCGGGUAGCCGGCCUGAGAGGGUGACCGGCCACAUUGGGACUGAGAUACGGCCCAGACUCCUACGGGAGGCAGCAGUGGGGAAUAUUGCACAAUGGGCGGAAGCCUGAUGCAGCAACGCCGCGUGCGGGAUGACGGCUUUCGGGUUGUAAACCGCUUUCGCCUGUGACGAAGCGUGAGUGACGGUAAUGGGUAAAGAAGCACCGGCUAACUACGUG
This 467-nucleotide ribosomal RNA is filed under the name uncultured bacterium. Its description in RNAcentral is "partial 16S ribosomal RNA". It matches the Rfam family "Bacterial small subunit ribosomal RNA", at positions 29 to 507 of the family's 1533-position model. The record is from RNAcentral.